CUGCCCAAUGAUUUUAUUUAAUGGCCGCAGUAUAUUGACUGUGCAAAGGUAGCAUAAUAAAUAGUUUUUUAAUUGAAGACUGGAAUGAAGGAGGGGAUGAAAUUUAAACUGUCUCUGAUUUAAAAAUAAAAUUUUAUUUUAAGUUAAAAAUCUUAAAUGAAUUUAAGGGACGAGAAGACCCUAUAGAAUUUUAAAUUAUUUAAAAUAUUAAUAUUAUAAAUUAAAAUAUAAAAAUUUUAAAUAAUUUUUUAUUGGGAGGGUAUUAAAAUUUAAAAAACUUUUAAUUAAAUAAAACAUUAAUUUAUGAAUUAAAAAAAUUAAAUAAAUAAAAAAUAAAAAUUACCUUAGGGAUAACAGCGUAAUAAAUUUUUAAAGUUCAAAUUAAAAAAUUUGAUUGCGACCUCGAUGUUGAAUUAAAAUAAAAUUUAAGUGUAGAAGCUUAAUAUUU
RNAcentral lists this ribosomal RNA (448 nucleotides) under Chrysidea disclusa disclusa. RNAcentral describes it as "partial 16S ribosomal RNA". The record is from RNAcentral. Lineage: Eukaryota; Metazoa; Arthropoda; Insecta; Hymenoptera; Chrysididae.